UGGGUCGGGGUUUCGUACGUAGCAGAGC
This 28-nucleotide non-coding RNA is filed under the name Gallus gallus (chicken). RNAcentral also lists the same sequence under 5 other names. The record is from RNAcentral. Lineage: Eukaryota; Metazoa; Chordata; Aves; Galliformes; Phasianidae.